Maylandia zebra (zebra mbuna) is the source of this 483-nucleotide non-coding RNA. Lineage: Eukaryota; Metazoa; Chordata; Actinopteri; Cichliformes; Cichlidae. The record is from RefSeq and is a predicted model, not a curated record.
UUUCUGUGUUGCAGACUUUAUUUAAAAAAUUCCAUGACAUCUACUAUAACUGAACCAACCUGGUGCUCUUCAUUUAUGGAGGCUGUUGAGUCUGAAUGUUGGAUGUUGUGUAUCUCGUGUUCUCUGGGCUUUGUUGUCCUCAGUCUUUUUGCAGGAUCAGAAAACAAAACCGGGAGGCGCGUAAAUGUUUCUUCUCCAUGAUGUUUCUUCAAAUGUUUCUUCUGGAUGAUGAUAUGACCGUGACACGGGAUGCCACCUUUGGUCUUGUGACGAAGCAAAGCUCAGGAAGAAGUGUGAUUAAAUGAGCAGAGCAGCAGUUUGUGCUCACAGAUGGUGACGGUGUGGAGAGACGGUGGUAUUUCCUCAGAAGAACCAGCAGAGUCACAAAGGACACCAGUCCAUCUCACCACCUUGACUUGCUGACUGAUGUUCGUCUGCACUGCACAGAGGAAAUCAACUGACCGAGGAGCGUUUCUGAGUGAG